GUGGAUAGGCAUACAAGGACGUUUGGGCCAAAGUAUCUGCUUGGGAAAAAAACCCAAUUACUUAACAUCGAAAAUAGGAUUCGAUAAGCAUCCAAGAAAUGCUUUUCACGCUUAAAUAGAAAAACAAUAAUGUAUGUCAAGAAUCUUCUCACUGUACCAAGGCGACCGCGAGGAGUUCGAAGCCGGUAACACUUCACAAACUUAAGGAAGAAGAGGUUGAUACUUAUCAAUUAGAAGUUUCAGGUGCGUUCGCUUUUGUGUUCGUUGUUGUUGUUCGAUGAAGAGUGGAGUGUUGAAAAUGCGUUGCGAUGAAGAGUGAGAAUGGAUGAUGAAGAUCGUUGACGAAUAAUCAAGAGGAAUGAUGAAGAUGAAUUCUCGAUGAAGUUAUGUGGCUUGGAAGGGUGUUAGAUUUGGACUCAAUGGUUAGCUAUGGAGUGCAUGAGAUUAUUGGCUUGGUUUGGCAUGUGGUUGGACUCAAAUUUGGUGCAACGAUGGCUAUUAUGGAACAUAGUCUUGUAACUUUGGAUAUUUUUGUAAUGUUUAUGUUGACAUGUAGGUGGUUAUGGUUUAUGAUUUUAAUGAAGUAAUUGGAAAUUUGAAUGCAUAUAUGUUUAUGCAUUGGAAUUUUGUAUGAAAUAUUUGAAAUGAAUGAAGUUUUGGUGGUAAUA
Lathyrus oleraceus (garden pea) is the source of this 668-nucleotide long non-coding RNA. RefSeq lists it as uncharacterized. The transcript is spliced from 2 exons. NCBI's taxonomy places the organism in Eukaryota, Viridiplantae, Streptophyta, Magnoliopsida, Fabales, Fabaceae. The record is from RefSeq and is a predicted model, not a curated record.